This 312-nucleotide ribosomal RNA is filed under the name Pseudomonas rhodesiae. RNAcentral's name for it is "bacterial SSU rRNA". It matches the Rfam family "Bacterial small subunit ribosomal RNA", at positions 1121 to 1432 of the family's 1533-position model. RNAcentral also lists the same sequence under 1 other name. Lineage: Bacteria; Pseudomonadati; Pseudomonadota; Gammaproteobacteria; Pseudomonadales; Pseudomonadaceae. The record is from RNAcentral.
GCACGUAAUGGUGGGCACUCUAAGGAGACUGCCGGUGACAAACCGGAGGAAGGUGGGGAUGACGUCAAGUCAUCAUGGCCCUUACGGCCUGGGCUACACACGUGCUACAAUGGUCGGUACAGAGGGUUGCCAAGCCGCGAGGUGGAGCUAAUCCCAUAAAACCGAUCGUAGUCCGGAUCGCAGUCUGCAACUCGACUGCGUGAAGUCGGAAUCGCUAGUAAUCGCGAAUCAGAAUGUCGCGGUGAAUACGUUCCCGGGCCUUGUACACACCGCCCGUCACACCAUGGGAGUGGGUUGCACCAGAAGUAGCUA